Molecule: ribosomal RNA, 466 nt
Filed under: uncultured bacterium
Lineage: Bacteria
Description: partial 16S ribosomal RNA
Rfam family: Bacterial small subunit ribosomal RNA
Source: RNAcentral
GACGAACGCUGGCGGCGCGCCUAACACAUGCAAGUCGAACGAGCGAGAGAGAGCUUGCUUUCUCGAGCGAGUGGCGAACGGGUGAGUAACGCGUGAGGAACCUGCCUCAAAGAGGGGGACAACAGUUGGAAACGACUGCUAAUACCGCAUAAGCCCACGACCCGGCAUCGGGUAGAGGGAAAAGGAGCAAUCCGCUUUGAGAUGGCCUCGCGUCCGAUUAGCUAGUUGGUGAGGUAACGGCCCACCAAGGCGACGAUCGGUAGCCGGACUGAGAGGUUGAACGGCCACAUUGGGACUGAGACAUGGCCCAGACUCCUACGGGAGGCAGCAGUGGGGAAUAUUGCACAAUGGGGGAAACCCUGAUGCAGCGACGCCGCGUGGAGGAAGAAGGUCUUCGGAUUGUAAACUCCUGUUGUUGAGGAAGAUAAUGACGGUACUCAACAAGGAAGUGACGGCUAACUACGUG